This 593-nucleotide ribosomal RNA is filed under the name uncultured bacterium. Its description in RNAcentral is "bacterial SSU rRNA". It matches the Rfam family "Bacterial small subunit ribosomal RNA", at positions 382 to 995 of the family's 1533-position model. The record is from RNAcentral.
UCUGCAUGCACGUAUGCGCGUGAGUGAAGAAGGCCUUUGGGUUGUAAAGCUCUUUUGUAGGGGAAGAUAAUGACUGUACCCUAAGAAUAAGGUCCGGCUAACUUCGUGCCAGCAGCCGCGGUAAUACGAAGGGACCUAGCGUAGUUCGGAAUUACUGGGCGUAAAGCGCGCGUAGGCCGUUGAGUUAGUUAAUUGUGAAAUCCCAAAGCUUAACUUUGGAACUGCAAUUAAAACUGCUCGACUAGAGUUUGAUAGAGGAAAGCGGAAUACAUAGUGUAGAGGUGAAAUUCGUAGAUAUUAUGUAGAACACCAGUUGCGAAGGCGGCUUUCUGGGUCAACACUGACGCUGAGGCGCGAAAGUAUGGGUAGCAAAGAGGAUUAGAUACCCUCGUAGUCCAUACCAUAAACGAUGAUUGCUAGAUGUUGGAAAUUUAUUUUCAGUAUCGCAGCUAACGCAUUAAGCAAUCCGCCUGGGGAGUACGACCGCAAGGUUAAAACUCAAAUGAAUUGACGGGGACCCGCACAAGCGGUGGAGCAUGUGGUUUAAUUCGAAGAUACGCGCAGAACCUUACCAACCCUUGACAUGUCUGUCG